UACGUAGGGGGCCAGCGUUGUCCGGAAUCAUUGGGCGUAAAGCGCGCGUAGGCGGCCAGAUAAGUCCGGUGUGAAAGUCAAAGGCUCAACCUUUGAAUGCCGCUGGAAACUGCCUGGCUUGAGUCCGGAAGGGGCGAGUGGAAUUCCUGGUGUAGCGGUGAAAUGCGCAGAUAUCAGGAAGAACACCAAUGGCGAAGGCAGCUCUCUGGGACGGUACUGACGCUGAGACGCGAAAGCGUGGGGAGCGAACAGG
RNAcentral lists this ribosomal RNA (253 nucleotides) under uncultured bacterium. Its description in RNAcentral is "partial 16S ribosomal RNA". It matches the Rfam family "Bacterial small subunit ribosomal RNA", at positions 524 to 776 of the family's 1533-position model. The record is from RNAcentral.